GUCCACGCCGUAAACGAUGGAUACUAGCUGUUCGGAGCAAUCUGAGUGGCUAAGCGAAAGUGAUAAGUAUCCCACCUGGGGAGUACGUUCGCAAGAAUGAAACUCAAAGGAAUUGACGGGGCCCGCACAAGCGGUGGAGCAUGUGGUUUAAUUCGAUGAUACGCGAGGAACCUUACCAAGGCUUAAAUGUAGAUUGACCGAUUUUGGAAACAGAUCUUUCGCAAGACAAUUUACAAGGUGCUGCAUGGUUGUCGU
Molecule: ribosomal RNA, 255 nt
Filed under: uncultured bacterium
Lineage: Bacteria
Description: partial 16S ribosomal RNA
Rfam family: Bacterial small subunit ribosomal RNA
Source: RNAcentral